This 219-nucleotide long non-coding RNA is filed under the name Lathyrus oleraceus (garden pea). RNAcentral's name for it is "Pisum sativum (pea) long non-coding RNA (PSAT_LNC007339)". The record is from RNAcentral. Lineage: Eukaryota; Viridiplantae; Streptophyta; Magnoliopsida; Fabales; Fabaceae.
AAACUCAAAACUUAGGACUGCAUUAUCAUGCAUUUGUGAUAUAUGUGGCUAAAGUCUAAGGCAUAAAUCUGAUUCACAAAACAAACACAACUUUCUUAGGUAUGUCUGUUUAGAUUUAGAAUUGAACACCAAAUAAUUUUGUUCUCAAUGCUAAAAUAGAAAGAAAAAAAAGAAUAAAGUUGUACAUUUGUGACAAGCAAAACACUUCUAUCCAACAGU